CCUACGGGUGGCAGCAGUCGAGAAUCAUUCACAAUGGGCGGAAGCCUGAUGGUGUGACGCCGCGUGGGGGAUGAAGGUCUUCGGAUUGUAAACUCCUGUCAUCCGCGAGCUAUUAGCGGAAGAGGAAGGGACGGCUAACUCUGUGCCAGCAGCCGCGGUAAUACAGAGGUCCCAAGCGUUGUUCGGAAUCACUGGGCGUAAAGGGUGCGUAGGCGGCGCGCCAAGUCGGAUGUGAAAGACCGGGGCUCAACCCCGGAAGUGCAUCCGAUACUGGCGUGCUUGAGGGUUUGAGGGGAGUCGGGAAUUCACGGUGUAGCAGUGAAAUGCGUGGAUAUCGUGAGGAAGACCGGUGGCGAAGGCGCGACUCUGGAAAACCCUGACGCUGAGGCACGAAGGCCAGGGGAGCGAACGGGAUUAGAUACCCUUGUAGUC
Molecule: ribosomal RNA, 432 nt
Filed under: uncultured bacterium
Lineage: Bacteria
Description: partial 16S ribosomal RNA
Rfam family: Bacterial small subunit ribosomal RNA
Source: RNAcentral